Molecule: ribosomal RNA, 253 nt
Filed under: uncultured bacterium
Lineage: Bacteria
Description: partial 16S ribosomal RNA
Rfam family: Bacterial small subunit ribosomal RNA
Source: RNAcentral
UACGUAGGGGGCAAGCGUUGUCCGGAAUCAUUGGGCGUAAAGAGCGUGUAGGCGGUCCGGUAAGUCGGCUGUGAAAGUCCAGGGCUCAACCCUGGGAUGCCGGUGGAUACUGUCGGGCUCGAGUCCGGAAGAGGCGAGUGGAAUUCCUGGUGUAGCGGUGAAAUGCGCAGAUAUCAGGAGGAACACCAAUGGCGAAGGCAGCUCGCUGGGACGUGACUGACGCUGAGACGCGAAAGCGUGGGGAGCAAACAGG